CGAGCGCUCAGUGGGCCUC
This 19-nucleotide microRNA is filed under the name Gallus gallus (chicken). RNAcentral describes it as "microRNA Ros-gga". The record is from RNAcentral. Lineage: Eukaryota; Metazoa; Chordata; Aves; Galliformes; Phasianidae.